This 758-nucleotide ribosomal RNA is filed under the name uncultured bacterium. RNAcentral describes it as "bacterial SSU rRNA". It matches the Rfam family "Bacterial small subunit ribosomal RNA", at positions 8 to 796 of the family's 1533-position model. The record is from RNAcentral.
AGAGUUUGAUCAUGGCUCAGGAUAAACGCUGGCGGCGUGCCUAACACAUGCAAGUCGAACGCCCUUUGGUUUCGGUCAGAGGGAGUGGCGGACGGGUGAGUAACACGUGGGUAACCUACCCUGAGGUGAGGAAUACCGGCGAGAAAUCGCCGACAAGACCGCAUACGUUUCGCAAGAAGCAAAGCCCUGCAAGGGGUGCCACAGGAUGGGCCUGCGGCCGAUUAGCUGGUUGGUGAGGUAAAGGCUCACCAAGGCGACGAUCGGUAGCUGGUCUGAGAGGAUGAUCAGCCACACUGGGAUUGAGAACGGCCCAGACUCUUACGGGGGGCAGCAGUGAGGAAUUUUCGGCAAUGGGCGCAAGCCUGACCGAGCAACGCCGCGUGCAGGAGGACGGCCUUCGGGUUGUAAACUGCUUUUCUUGGGGACGAGCAAGGACGGUACCCGAGGAAGAAGCCCCGGCUAACUACGUGCCAGCAGCCGCGGUAAUACGUAGGGGGCAAGCGUUGUCCGGAGUUACUGGGCGUAAAGCGCACGCAGGCGGUUUUCUACGUUCAAAGUGACAGUCUCCGGCUUAACUGGAGAAGUGGUUUGAAAACGGGGAAACUUGAGGGCCAGAGAGGGACACGGAACUCCGGGUGGAGCGGUGAAAUGCGUAGAGAUCCGGAAGAACCCAAAGGCGAAGGCAGUGUCCUGGCUGGUUCCUGACGCUCAGGUGCGAAAGCUAGGGGAGCAAACAGGAUUAGAUACCCUAGUAGUCC